CACAGUGGCAUCGAUCAAAGUACAUUGAGUAAUAAUAACAAGUGAAACAGGAGCAGAAUGUAGCGCUUCGCGUGAGAGCAAAUGAGGACGAGACAUAACACAGUGGCCCCCACCCUGGCGUGUGUUGUGUUAAGAUAGCAGUCCCGGUGCUGGAGAAGAAGAGGGGGCCCAAAAAAGAGGAUAAAGAUGAAGG
Long non-coding RNA from Sander lucioperca (pikeperch), 193 nucleotides. RefSeq lists it as uncharacterized. The transcript has 3 exons. Lineage: Eukaryota; Metazoa; Chordata; Actinopteri; Perciformes; Percidae. The record is from RefSeq and is a predicted model, not a curated record.